Molecule: ribosomal RNA, 1205 nt
Filed under: uncultured bacterium
Lineage: Bacteria
Description: bacterial SSU rRNA
Rfam family: Bacterial small subunit ribosomal RNA
Source: RNAcentral
CAGNGGGGGAUAACGUAGCGAAAGUUACGCCCUUUCCGCAUAUUCUCUGAGGAGGAAAGCAGGGGACCUUCGGGCCUUGCGCUGAUAGAGCGGCCGAUAUCAGAUUAGCUAGUUGGUGGGGUAAAGGCCUACCAAGGCGACGAUCUGUAGCGGGUCUGAGAGGAUGAUCCGCCACACUGGGACUGAGACACGGCCCAGACUCCUACGGGAGGCAGCAGUGGGGAAUUUUGGACAAUGGGCGCAAGCCUGAUCCAGCCAUGCCGCGUGAGUGAAGGAGGCCUUCGGGUUGUAAAGCUCUUUCGGCCGGGAAGAAAUCGCACAGGCUAAUACCUUGUGUGGAUGACGGUACCGGAAUAAGAAGCACCGGCUAACUACGUGCCAGCAGCCGCAGUAAUACGUAGGGUGCGAGCGUUAAUCGGAAUUACUGGGCGUAAAGCGUGCGCAGGCGGUUUGGUAAGACAGGCGUGAAAUCCCCGGGCUCAACCUGGGAACUGCGCUUGUGACUGCCUCACUAGAGUACGGCAGAGGGGGGUGGAAUUCCACGUGUAGCAGUGAAAUGCGUAGAGAUGUGGAGGAACACCGAUGGCGAAGGCAGCCCCCUGGGCCGAUACUGACGCUCAUGCACGAAAGCGUGGGUAGCAAACAGGAUUAGAUACCCUGGUAGUCCACGCCCUAAACGAUGUCAACUAGUUGUUGGGGGGGUAAAACCCUUUAGUAACGUAGCUAACGCGUGAAGUUGACCGCCUGGGGAGUACGGCCGCAAGGUUAAAACUCAAAGGAAUUGACGGGGACCCGCACAAGCGGUGGAUGAUGUGGAUUAAUUCGAUGCAACGCGAAAAACCUUACCUACCCUUGACAUGUUCAGAAGUCUCGAGAGAUUGAGAUGUGCCCGAAAGGGAACUGGAACACAGGUGCUGCAUGGCUGUCGUCAGCUCGUGUCGUGAGAUGUUGGGUUAAGUCCCGCAACGAGCGCAACCCUUGUCGUUAAUUGCCAUCAUUAAGUUGGGCACUUUAGCGAGACUGCCGGUGACAAACCGGAGGAAGGUGGGGAUGACGUCAAGUCCUCAUGGCCCUUAUGGGUAGGGCUUCACACGUCAUACAAUGGUCGGUACAGAGGGUUGCCAAGCCGCGAGGUGGAGCCAAUCCCAGAAAGCCGAUCGUAGUCCGGAUCGUAGGCUGCAACUCGCCUGCGGAAGUCGGAAUCG